RNAcentral lists this small RNA (327 nucleotides) under Pongo abelii (Sumatran orangutan). RNAcentral describes it as "processed transcript". Lineage: Eukaryota; Metazoa; Chordata; Mammalia; Primates; Hominidae. The record is from RNAcentral.
GCCAAUUUGAACCUGUGGGAUGGAACCUAAAGACUAGAGUCGGUUGUGUGAGUCAGGAAGAGGGGCCAGAUAUCUGAGUGUUCCUGUUUAGUUUCUUCAAUUGCAGAAGAGAGGUUGGAGUCGGUUUUUGCUGGCGGCGAUGUCCAGCGGAGAGCGUUUAAGUAUGGAGGCCUGACAAGUGUUUCAUCUUGCUCAUUCUCUCCUAUUCGCGAAUGUGUUCUGCAUUCCGCCGCCAGAGUGAUCUCAAAAUUAUAAAAUCAGACCACUCGUUUGCUGAGUUCCCCCUCUACCCCUUGUACUGAGAAUAAAAUUCACUCUUGAAGUCGA